GGCACUAGCGCGGUGGUCCCACCUGACCCCAUGCCGAACUCAGAAGUGAAACGCCGUAGCGCCGAUGGUAGUGUGGGGUCUCCCCAUGUGAGAGUAGGGAACUGCCAGGCA
This 111-nucleotide ribosomal RNA is filed under the name Klebsiella pneumoniae. The record is from RNAcentral. Lineage: Bacteria; Pseudomonadati; Pseudomonadota; Gammaproteobacteria; Enterobacterales; Enterobacteriaceae.